This 429-nucleotide ribosomal RNA is filed under the name Chloroflexota bacterium. RNAcentral's name for it is "Chloroflexi bacterium partial 16S ribosomal RNA". It matches the Rfam family "Bacterial small subunit ribosomal RNA", at positions 355 to 776 of the family's 1533-position model. Lineage: Bacteria; Bacillati; Chloroflexota. The record is from RNAcentral.
UGGGGAAUAUUGCACAAUGGGCGCAAGCCUGAUGCAGCCAUGCCGCGUGUUUGAAGAAGGCCUUCGGGGUGUAAAGUACUUUCAGCGGGGAGGAAGGGAGUAAAGUUAAUACCUUUGCUCAUUGACGUCACCCGCAGAAGAAGCACCGGCUAACUCCGUGCCAGCAGCCGCGGUAAUACGGAGGGUGCAAGCGUUAAUCGGAAUUACUGGGCGUAAAGCGCACGCAGGCGGUUUGUUAAGUCAGUUGUGAAAUCCGCGGGCUCAACCUGGGAACUGCAUCUGAUACUGGCGAGCUUGAGUCUCGUGGAGGGGGGUAGAAUUCCAGGUGUAUCGGUGGAAUGCGUAGAGAUCUGGAGGAAUACCGGUGGCGAAGGCGGCCCCAUGUACGAAGACUGACACUCAGGUGCGCAAGAGUGUGGAGCAAACAGG